UACCAGCUCUCCGAGUGGUAGGGAUGAUUAUUGGGCUUAAAGCGUCCGUAGCCGGCUUAGCAAGUCUCCUGUUAAAUUCAGCGACCUAAUCGUUGAUUCGCGGGAGAUACUACUAGGCUAGGAGGCGGGAGAGGUCCACGGUACUUCCGGGGUAGGGGUGAAAUCCUAUAAUCCCGGGAGGACCACCAGUGGCGAAGGCUGUUGACUAGAACGCGCUCGACGGUGAGGGACGAAAGCUGGGGGAGCGAACCGGAUUAGAUACCCGGGUAGUCCCAGCUGUAAACGAUGCGAGCUAGGUGUUGGGGUGGCUACGUGCCACUUCAGUGCCGCAGGGAAGCCAUUAAGCUCGCCGCCUGGGGAGUACGGCCGCGAAGGCUAGGAAAACUUAAAGGAAUUGGGCGGGGAGCCAACCACAAGGCGUGAAGCUUGCGGUUC
RNAcentral lists this ribosomal RNA (435 nucleotides) under uncultured archaeon. RNAcentral describes it as "bacterial SSU rRNA". It matches the Rfam family "Archaeal small subunit ribosomal RNA", at positions 474 to 903 of the family's 1478-position model. The record is from RNAcentral.